GUAGCCGUCAACGUGUCGAACAACCAUCGGUAAGGAUCUGCUUCUCGGCCUUUUCCAAAAAAUAUAUUUCUAGGGCAAAUCAGUUCAGCCUCCCUAAUCGCCUCCAUCUCUUUCUCGUUCUCAACUCUGAACACCCCCCCCCCCCCCUCUCUGCAACUGCCAACUACAAAAUCUACAAGAAUCAGAAGUUCAAAACCCAUAUAUUUCAGUUUAUCUAUCUGUCUGCAAGAAAAAACCUAUUACCUAUAUCAAAACCCAUAUCGGCGUGUCAUUUCAGAUUGUUCAAAAAAUCAAAACCCAUAUCUUUCAGUUUCCAUCGCCUACUGUUCCAGUUCGGGUUCGCCGUUCGCAAGCUUCAGCCGCUGUCUCUCAAGUCUCGAGCACUGCUAACUUGGUUAGCAUCGGGCUUUAACAUUUAGUAAGAACAAGGUUCAACAAACAUGCCUCCUCAGUCAUCAGGUUUCUUUUCUGAAAGAAGUAAGUUGAUGGGAAUGGGUGGAGUGGGCAAAAAGAAAAUAGGCAAACGUGCACAUUUUCUCUCGGAGAUCGGCGAAGCGAAGAAAGAUUUCUAGGGUUAUGAACGCCUCGUCAUCCACGCACACGGCUUUUCAGGAAUGGCCAGAACUGGAAACACAAAACAGCGGAAGUCACGAGUGUAGAGGCACAAGAAAAGAUCUAAGAAGCGGUCGCAGAUGGAUCCAGAAUCCCUCAAGAUGCUGAGGGAACUUAUGGCGUAUCCGGCUGCUAUUAAAACUCUCAAAGAUGACAAAAACACUCUGGAGAUACAAUUUAAUAAGGUUCGAAUUUUUUCCUUUAUCUGCCUACGAUUCUUUCGAACUUUGCCAAGGAGUUGCUCCAUAGCUUAUCUUCCAAUUGCAAACUUAUGCUUUCUCCAACUUUGGAUGAGCAGACAGGAAAGUCACUAGAUAAAUUGGCUAAGCCCAAUCUCAUACCUCUACAUGGAACGGCAACUAUAUCGACAACGUCAAGGCAAACGAUGACCUCCGAGGAUCGGAUGGGUGUACUUCGUAGUGAAAAGAGUGUUGGAGGAGCAGUUGAAGGAAAAAGAUAGCGAGGUGAACAACAAGAGAACACAGAUUGAAGUUGCAGAAAUGAUAAUGAAUGAUAUAAUUGCGGAUUUGGUAACGGUAAUGAAGGACAUUUCAAUCUCUAAUAAUAGAUGAGCUGAGUUUUGCUGCUGAUUUGAUCCGCAAGAGAGGAGAAAAUGGAUGCAGAAUCGUAUUGUGAGGGUCUCACUCAGGGAGUGUGCUGACAAAAAAAUAUGGAGUGCCACGUAUAUAUGGGUCUCUGGUGAUGAUUGUAUGUUAUGUAUUUGACCUUCCUGACUUGGAAUUAGAGGUUGAUUUGGAAUUUUCAACUAAUCUUCCUUGUAAACCUAAAACUUUCUUGGAUCACUCCCCUGCAUAUUCACUUGUAACCUUCCUGACUUGGAAUUAGAGGUUGAUUUGGAAUUUUCAACUAAUCUUCCUUGUAAACCUAAAACUUUCUUGGAUCACUCCCCUGCAUAUUCACUUGUAAUAUUACUCCUAGAAAUUUCUUUCUUUUCAUUGGUGGCGUUACCCUAAACAGAAUGUAUUUAAUGAUGUUCUCCUUUCUUGUUACAUGUUUAUUUCAAUGGUCAUGCUAAAUAAUAGUGUUUGGAAGAAGGAAAGAUAUUACUUUCAACCAUUUUGGCAAAUCUCAGAAUUAGCUGCAAAGUAACAGUGUUAAUCGUCCAGCUAUGUCUCAAAAUUAUUUUGUUUUGUUUAGAUAUUGAGCAAAUAUAUAUAAAGGUCUGAUGCUGUACAUGUGGCAUAUUUGAGAAACAUAAGGUUCAUCUACAGUUUAUCUUUCUGUUCAAUAGGUUUUAUGAAGAUAUUUAGAAAGAAUUUUGGUUUGCAGAAUUUUGAAGUUACUCUAGUUAUUUUGUUUUUCAUGGUGUUCAAGGAUUUUGCUAGGGGUGGCAAAGUUCGACACGACCCGCCGACACGACACGUACACGACACGAACUAAAUGGGUAAUGAGUUUACUAUAAACGGGUUCGAGUCGUAAACGGGUUAACACGAUUAACCCGUUAAGUUAAAAGUGUCGUGUUCGGGUUUUAGAGUUCAACCCGUUUAACUCGUUUUGUCCCGUUUAAUUAAAUGUGUCACCCGUGAACCCGUAUAACCUGUUUUGACCUGAUAAGGGACAUUUAGGUCAUUUCAUACUAUACAUAAGAAACCCUACAUAUCACAUUAUCACUAUACGCCCUAGUCAUUAGAAGAUAUCUGCCUCUGCGUUUUCUCUCUCUUCUCUCCUGACUCUUCAGUCUCUCUCUAGUCUUUGUCACUCCUCUUUCCUCUUCAGAGUUCAGACAUCGUGAACUCACCCGGAUGAUCGGAUCUCUAUCUUCAGUCUAGUCUCCAGUCCUCCGUCUUGUACAACUCAGUGAACUCACCCGGACCUAUCUUCUUGUUGCACGCAUCUGAUUCUUCUACAACUUAGUGAACUCACCCGGAUCUAUCUUCUUGUUUAGGUAAAAUACUAAAAUUAUUUAUGGUUUAUGGUUUAUCUAAAUAUUGUUUUGGUCCUCCUCUCUCUAUAUAGUUUAUCUAAAAUUAUUUAUGGUUUUCGUUUGGAUUUUGUUUAUGGGAUGAGAUCGAUUUAAUUUUCUUGAUUGCUGAUUUACUGAAUUUGUUGUUUUUGUGGAUAGCCUGAGUGUAUAGUUGAUUUUUUUUGGCUUUUGUGCAGUUGUUUUCAGAAUUAUCUUAUGAUAUAUAAUUAUAUAUGCUCAACUCGAUUGUUUUGGGACAAUUUAAUUGUUUGGAAACAUGUGACAUUGACAUUAAAACUGCUUGUAAUUUCAUUGAUCACAAAGAAAUUAUGUGGAGUGAUAUGGAAUUUCUAUAUGUGCAAUGACAACGUAUAUGCUUUACUACAUGUACUUGAUGUAUUGCUGUAACAUGGAGCCUCUUUGAUCCUAGAUAAGCUUAUAAUAUGAAUUGAGGAACUCUGUUUUCUAUUUUUUUUUUAAAAUUUAUUUUAGGGAAAAUUCCUAAUAAGUCCUACUUUUUAGCUCUAUUGACCAACAAGUUCUACAAAUUUUUUAGAAAGACAAAAAAGUCCUAUUUCAACAAACAUUUCCAAAUAAGUUCAGAUUCUGUAUUUUAUAAUUUUAUUUCCAUUAUUACCCUUUCUCUUCAAAGGGUUCUUCAGCUGCAUUGUUGAAAAGCUCUCGAGUCCUGUCUUUCUUGACUCUUAUACUCUCUCGCUCCUAAUUAAAAUUUGACUGAAAGUGUCUAUACAUUAUAUAUAUAUACACACACAUUUGAAUAUAGAGAUGGAUAGAAUUACAUAUUUGAUGGAUUUAUUUUCAAAUUUAAACUUCAUUAUAGAUAGAAUUUCAAAUCCACACUCCUCUCCUUCUCUGCCAUGCUCAAACCCUAAAUCUCAACCACCCCUCUCCUCCUAAUGCCCAAAAACCUUCAAUUUAGUGUGUGUGCACAUAUAUAUACAUAUUUGUAGAGAGAGAAAGAGAGAAUUAAAGGAUGGGUUUAAUUUUAGAUUUGUGCAAAUGCGUGAUACUGUAGAGAGAGUGUAUAUAAUACAAAUAUUUGUAGAGAGAGAGAGAAAUAAUUAAAGGCUAGAUUUAAUUUUCAGAAUUAAAGGAUGGGUUUAAUUUUCACACAUAUAUAUAUAUGCCACUAAACAAUUUUCAGAUCUAGCUAGCUGAAUCAUUGAAGAUGAAUCUGCAUUGUGUGAUGGUGGUGUUGGUGAGAAUAUCUUAGACGCGGGAACUUGCUGAAAGCGGGAAAGUGAAUUUGACAGAAAAAAGAGAGAUUAACCAGAAGAGUAGGAUUCUCAUGAUGAAGGAGAUGAGGUUAGAGAGAGAGAGAGAGAAUGUGUGUGAGAGUCGGGAGAUGAGAGGUUAGAGCAAAUACUGUGUGUGGAAUGGGUUUAGCUACUGUUGUGGGUCUGAUAUUAUGGAGAGAGUGCACGGUAGCAUUUGGAAAGGGUAAUAAUGGAAAAAUAAUGGUAAUAUACAGAAUUUGAACUUAGUUGGAAAUAUUUUUUAAAAUAGGACUUCUUUGUCUUUUUGAAAAAUUUGCAGAACUUGUUGGUCUUUGGAGCUAAAAAGUAGGACUUAUCAGGAAUUUUCCCUUUAUUUUAUGUCUCUUCUGUGCAGCUACUUGCUGGUCUUCCUUGUUUCGUUGGCUAGAAAACUAACUAAUGUUCUUUCUUUAAUAAAAUUUCAUUUACCCGAAAAAUAUUUGGGUCUCCAAUAGUGUGCCCAGAUCAUUCAGCUCAGAAUUGAAUGCACAAACAUUCAUCAAAAAAUGACAUAUUUCAUUUAGCUGAGAAUGUACCUAAUGUUAGAAAGAGAAAUUUGGGAACUGUUUGAUGAGAUUAACAAGUGCGCCAAAGUGUUCCAUUAAUCAAUUUGUGGUAUAAUAAACCCCUUUCCCAACCGUUUUACUAUUGAUCAUUAAUCAAUUUUUAGUUUUAUGUUUUGUUUUUGUUUCAUCUGUUGUUGUAAUUGUAUGCAUCCAUGAAAAAAACUGAAACUGUGGAGGCUUUGGUAUGCACGAGGGACUGGCUUUUUGGUUUGAAAGAUACAAUGAUGCUUCAAAUGGAUGACUUGAUUGAUGAUGUGAUGAAACUAAAUACCAACAAUGACGAUACUGUUGAAGGCCCGCCAAUGUUCCACCGGUGUUGGCAUGACCGAAAAUUAAAAUCCAAGACUUGUUGCCUCAAGAUUCAGUUUAAGACAUUUCUAUUAAACAAUUUUAUUUGGUUCUGUAAUAAUUAAUAACUUUAUUAGCUUAUGACUUAUCUUUUAUUUUUAAUCUCUUUUGGACUAGAGUAAUGUCUUUUGUUUGAACUUAUGACUUAUCUCAGUUUCAGACGUUUCUAUUAAUGGCUUUUGUUUUUAUUUGUUUUUA
Molecule: long non-coding RNA, 4925 nt
Organism: Cornus florida
Lineage: Eukaryota; Viridiplantae; Streptophyta; Magnoliopsida; Cornales; Cornaceae
Exons: 8
Source: RefSeq, a predicted model, not a curated record